RNAcentral lists this long non-coding RNA (555 nucleotides) under Nicotiana benthamiana. Its description in RNAcentral is "long non-coding RNA (NBEN_LNC013061)". Lineage: Eukaryota; Viridiplantae; Streptophyta; Magnoliopsida; Solanales; Solanaceae. The record is from RNAcentral.
CUAGAUCCGACCAUCCUAAUUCAAUCUUAAUGUCUAAUAACAUAUGAUUAACCAAUUCUUGAUCCAAAUUUGUAAAGCUUUCUCUUUAACCAAAGUGUUUCAAAGUUCCAAGUAAUCUCAAGGAUUCCCGGCAUUGCUUACACCCAGGAUACCAUUAGAAUUAGAAUAGUGCAGUGUGGAAGAUCCAUCCCUCAGGCAUCCAAGUUCAGAUGGAGCUCGAGGGUCCCAAAGCAUGGCUUGCAAGAGAGGGGCAGAACUUAUAGCUAAGAGUAAGUGCAAAGUGAAAAGUGAAUAAGGGAGUCAUACAAAUGGUGGUCACGCCUAGCCACAAGUGUAGGCUGGCACACCCCUGACCACCUUUUUGGUUAAACAAGUUAGGAGCAUACCCUUGAAGGUCAAACCAAUAUCAAGAUAGUGAUUAGGACACUAUAAGACCUAAGCCCAAGGCUCAAGCACAUAAAGGGAAAGGGGAGUGGGAAUUGAUUGAGUUAGGGGUUCAAAGAACCAAGUUCAGAGUCAUAGACAACAAUAUUAAAGUGCUACCAUGUCUUGAAC